RNAcentral lists this ribosomal RNA (434 nucleotides) under uncultured bacterium. RNAcentral describes it as "partial 16S ribosomal RNA". It matches the Rfam family "Bacterial small subunit ribosomal RNA", at positions 29 to 507 of the family's 1533-position model. The record is from RNAcentral.
AGCGAACGCUGGCGGCAGGCCUAACACAUGCAAGUCGAACGAACCUUUCGGGGUUAGUGGCGGACGGGUGAGUAACACGUGGGAACGUGCCUUUAGGUUCGGAAUAACUCAGGGAAACUUGUGCUAAUACCGAAUGUGCCCUUCGGGGGCAAGAUUUAUCGCCUUUAGAGCGGCCCGCGUCUGAUUAGCUAGUUGGUUGAGGUAAUGGCUCACCAAGGCGACGAUCAGUAGCUGGUCUGAGAGGAUGAUCAGCCACAUUGGGACUGAGACACGGCCCAAACUCCUACGGGAGGCAGCAGUGGGGAAUCUUGCGCAAUGGGCGAAAGCCUGACGCAGCCAUGCCGCGUGAAUGAUGAAGGUCUUAGGAUUGUAAAAUUCUUUCACCGGGGACGAUAAUGACGGUACCCGGAGAAGAAGCCCCGGCUAACUUCGUG